Molecule: ribosomal RNA, 500 nt
Filed under: uncultured bacterium
Lineage: Bacteria
Description: partial 16S ribosomal RNA
Rfam family: Bacterial small subunit ribosomal RNA
Source: RNAcentral
GAUGGACGCUAGCGGCAGGCUUAAUACAUGCAAGUCGUGGGGCAGCAUGAGUAGCAAUACUUGAUGGCGACCGGCAAACGGGUGCGGAACACGUACACAACCUUCCGAUAAGUGGGGAAUAGCCCAGAGAAAUUUGGAUUAAUACCCCGUAACAUAUAGAGUAGGCAUCUUCUUUAUAUUAUAGCUUCGGCGCUUAUUGAUGGGUGUGCGUCUGAUUAGGUAGUUGGCGGGGUAACGGCCCACCAAGCCUACGAUCAGUAGCUGAUGUGAGAGCAUGAUCAGCCACACGGGCACUGAGACACGGGCCCGACUCCUACGGGAGGCAGCAGUAAGGAAUAUUGGACAAUGGGCGAAAGCCUGAUCCAGCCAUGCCGCGUGAAGGAUUAAGGUCCUCUGGAUUGUAAACUUCUUUUAUUUGGGACGAAAAAAGGGAAUUCUUUCCCACUUGACGGUACCAGGUGAAUAAGCACCGGCUAACUCCGUGCCAGCAGCCGCGGUAA